Molecule: long non-coding RNA, 976 nt
Filed under: Parus major (Great Tit)
Lineage: Eukaryota; Metazoa; Chordata; Aves; Passeriformes; Paridae
Description: lncRNA (ENSPMJG00000003532.1)
Source: RNAcentral
CAGGAAUCGAUUAGACAUUUUGGGAUUAUAUAGCACAAAAAGGAUAAGGGCACAAGAAGGUCUUGGUGGCCUAUGAUGAAAAUAUUCUGCCUUUCUCUCUUCAGUGUUGAAGGGCUCAUUCUUCAUCCCUUUGACCUUCAGUGCCGACUUGUCCCCAUCACCUUCCUUAGUGGUGUAUGCCAUCUUCCCCAACGGAGGGGUCACAGCUGACAGCAUCCGUUUGGAUGUUGCCUUGUGCUUCCAAAACCAGGUCAGGGUAGGAUUCCCAGAUAAAGAAGCCCAUGCAGGGUCAGCAGUGCAGCUGCAGCUGCAGGCAGCACCUGGCUCCCUGUGUGCAGUCCAGGCAGUGGAUGAAAACAUGUUCUUCACCAGACCAGACCGUGAGCUGACCAGCCAAAUGGUGAGUGUCUGUGCAACCAGGCAAGACCUCGGGAGCGAUGGAUGAGCUGGGCAAGGGGCUGUGGCAAGGAGAGCUGGAGGCCAAUGAAUGAGGAGGUCUGUGAGUGAAGGAGAAAGCAGGGCCUGCCUAGGAAGAAGGACAGGAACUGAUGUGCUUGCUAGGGGACGAUGGAGAGAAGCAUCUGGAGGUACCUUCUCCUUGCCCAAUCCUUCCCUCCCUGUGAGUUUCCCUAGGUCUAUGGUUUGUUCCCUGCUGCCUACCAACGUGGAUACCCUGCCCAAGUAGAAGAGCAUUCAGAUCGCUGUGUGCAGCCCCAGUCCAUGUCAUCUCUGCUACGAGGAAGGCCACAGAAUUCCUUUCAGCCUGACAUCUUCAACCUCUUCCGGAACAUGGGUCUGAAAGUCUUCUCAAACCUUGUAAUCAAGAAGCCCUCUCCAUGCCCUCGUCGAGCGGAUAGGAGGCCAGUCAUAGGUGAGCACUUUGAGCCUAUCUGGGACAUGAGAUCACAUCAGGUGGCAGAGCCCUCUGAUCUUUGGGGUUUGCUGGUGGUGGAUAUUGCCUCUUUUAGGAGUAUCA